GAAAGUACAUAAGAGCGCUUGGGGGAUGCCUAGGCUCUUGGAGGCUAUGAAGGACGUGGUAAGCUGCGAAAAGCUGCGGGGAUUUGCAAACGAGAUUCGAUCCGCAGAUAUCCGAAUGGGACAACCCGGCAGGCGGAAGGCCUGUCACACUGCAAAGUGAGCCAACCCUCUGAACUGAAACAUCUUAGUAGGAGGAGGAAAAGAAAGAAACAUCGAUUACCUAAGUAGCGGCGAGCGAACGGGUAAGAGCCUAAACCGGAAGUGUUACGGCACUUUCGGGGUUGUAGGACUGCAACAACGUUUUGGACGAAGAACCGGAAGUACCUGGAAAGGUAUGCCGCAGAGAGUGAAAGCCUCGUACGGGCAAUUCGGUUCAAUGCAAGCAGUAUCCUGAGUAGGGCGGGACACGAGGAAUCCUGUCUGAAUCGACCGGGACCACCCGGUAAGGCUAAAUACUCCCAAGAGACCGAUAGUGAACCAGUACCGUGAGGGAAAGGUGAAAAGAACCCCGAACAGGGGAGUGAAAUAGAACCUGAAACCAUACGCUUACAACCGGUCGGAGCAGCUUCGUGCUGUGACGGCGUGCCUAUUGAAUAAUGAGCCUACGAGUUACUAAUCACUAGCGAGGUUAAGUGCUGGGAAGCACGGAGCCGAAGCGAAAGCGAGUCUGAAAAGGGCGGUUAGUUAGUGGUUGUAGACGCGAAACCUUGCGAUCUACCCUUGAGCAGGAUGAAGGUUGGGUAAAACCAACUGGAGGUCCGCACCAAUAAACGUUGAAAAGUUUCUGGAUGACUUGAGGGUAGGGGUGAAAGGCUAAUCAAGCUGGGAAAUAGCUCGUACUCCCCGAAAUGCCUUUAGGGGCAGCGUUGUAAUAAAGAGUCUACUGGAGGUAGAGCUACUGAUUGGAUGCGGGGGCUUCACCGCCUACCAAAUCCUGACAAACUCCGAAUGCCAGUAGUAUGAUUUACAGCAGUGAGCGACCGGGUGCUAAUGUCCGGUCACAAAAGAGGAACAACUCAGACCAGCAACUAAGGUCCCCAAGAAUAUGCUAAGUUGAACUAACGAUGUUUUGUUGCAGAGACAGCUAGGAUGUUAGCUUGGAAGCAGCUAUUCAUUCAAAGAGUGCGUAACAGCUCACUAGUCGAGCGACAGAGCGUGGAUAAUAAACGGGCAUCAAGCAUAUCACCGAAGUUCUGGGCGCGAGAGCGCGGUAGGGGAGCAUUCCAUUCAGCGUCGAAGCAGUUUCGUGAGGAAUUGUGGAGCGUAUGGAAAAGCAAAUGUAGGCAUGAGUAACGAUAAUGCGGGAGAGUAACCCGCACACCGCAAGACCAAGGUUUCCUGAUCAACGCUAAUCGGAUCAGGGUUAGUCGGGUCCUAAGGGUAAGCCGAAAGGCGAUCUCGAUGGAUAAUCGGUUAAUAUUCCGAUACUGACAUAUAUUUCGAUGGAGAGACGAAGGAACGUAAGUGCCGCCACCUGACGGAAUAGGUGGUUAAAGGAUUUAGGUAUAGGGACGGAUUAAGAGUCGGUUCCUGCUGAAUUCCGACAGUACAGAGAGCCUACGGGCAAUUUGAUAGUGCACCCAAGUCGACUUCCGAGAAAAUCUUCUAAGGCUAGGUAUAUGUCACCCGUACCGUAAACCGACACAGGUGGUCGAGGAGAGUAUCCUAAGGUGCUCGAGUGAAUCACGGUUAAGGAACUAGGCAAAUUAACCCCGUAACUUCGGGAAAAGGGGUCCCUACGAAAGUAGGGCGCAGCGAAGAGGUCCAGGCGACUGUUUAUCAAAAACACAGGGCUCUGCAAAUUCGAAAGAAGACGUAUAGGGCCUGACACCUGCCCGGUGCUGGAAGGUUAAGAGGGGAUGUCAUCGCAAGAGAAGCAUUGAAUCGAAGCCCCAGUAAACGGCGGCCGUAACUAUAACGGUCCUAAGGUAGCGAAAUUCCUUGUCGGGUAAGUUCCGACCUGCACGAAUGGUGUAACGAUCUGGACACUGUCUCAACCGUGAGCUCGGUGAAAUUGUAGUCCCGGUGAAGAUGCCGGGUACCCGCAACGGGACGAAAAGACCCCGUGAACCUUUACUACAGCUUAACGCUGAAUUUGGGUACAGAAUGUGUAGGAUAGGCAGGAGACUAUGAAGCAGGUACGCCAGUAUUUGUGGAGUCGCCGUUGAAAUACUGCCCUUUGUGUAUUUGAGUUCUAAUCCCUCAAGGGAGACACCGUUUGGUGGGUAGUUUGACUGGGGUGGUCGCCUCCAAAAGCGUAACGGA
Molecule: ribosomal RNA, 2265 nt
Filed under: human gut metagenome
Description: bacterial LSU rRNA
Rfam family: Bacterial large subunit ribosomal RNA
Source: RNAcentral